AAAAAAAAGGGAAGACAAUUUCAAAUAAACUAGAAAGAGUCCAACAAGUAGUAAAGAUGAGAGAAAGAGAAUGGGAGAAGAUAGAAAAUAAAGUAUGAGGAGAGAUUAGAGGAGCAUGAGUGUUGAAAUGGAAAUGGAAAUAUGGGCAGUGUGUGACUUUUUAUCACCAGCAACCCUAAUUCUGAUGACUUCCAAUUGCGUCAACACCAGAUUUUAGAAGAUCAAGAAAUUCCAAGUCUACUGGUAGUGUCUUUUGCCAAUAGAAGUGCCUGCCAGCGGUGGAAAUAAAUAAGGCAAGCCUUUCUAAAGCCUUGUGCUUGGAACAAGGAGCACACUUAGCCUGUUAAAGGUCGCUUGCCUUUCUCUUGUAACGGAGUGCCUAAAGCAUGCCUUUAAUAACACUGAUUAUCAUCAUAAAAUACCAUUUUCACUGAUCACUUUGCUUCUCAUUGCCAGCAUCAUUGCCAUCAUAAUUGGCAUAUCAGUUAUUACUAUCGUUUUUAUCAUUACCUAUGCCAGUAUUUUGCAUGUAUUUUACACGCCUAUGCAACUAUCAAGCCCAUUAACUAACUUAUGAUACAAGUAUACAACAGUCAACGCAUUCAAAUUUCUUGGAAGAUAAGAAUAACCAACUUAGAUUUCUGUGCCUUGUUCUCAGAUUUCACAAAUCCUAAGACUGAACAAUUCUUAAUAAAACUUUUAAGGGACAAAAAGGGCGUUGGGAAAUAAUUGCUAUUUACGAAAUUCAGUUGCUUAUGAAGUUUAGGUAAGUCACAAGUCCAUGUCAACUUUAUGCACUUUAUUAGGUGUUUAUUGAACUAUUUACAACUCAGGAAUCCUAUUCUUAUUUAGAAUAGAGAAAAAUUUAGUUAGCAAAUUGGCAUCAAUAUUCAUUACACCAACUUUCAUUAGAAACCAGUGUCCCCUAAGCAUUGACAACCAACUUCUAUCCCCCUUGCUCUUUUAUCAACUUUCAUACAUAGACCUUCAACCACCAAUUUGACAGCUCAAAGAAAGCCUACCAUUAGCCAUUAUUAGAUCCAUCAAAAAUAAUAAUAAAAUAAACUUUUCCUUCCAAGCUCCCCAGACCAAGAAACCAACCCAUACAUACACUUGAUAAAUGUAAUCCACUACAUAAAUAUCCCGAAAAUUUUGAUGCAAUAGAAUCUAGAAGUCUUUCAACCUUACAGCCACUACUUUUAAACAAUGAUAGAUAUUUUGGGUAAAUUUCACUCAUUGUCUCUCAACUUAAGUGGUUAUUUCAUGACCGUCCCUCAACUUCAAUUGCUUUCUUAAAAAUCUCUCAACUUCAAUUUGAGAGUCACUAUGACCAGAUAUUACAGUUUUUCAGGUUAACCCUGCUGAAUUAGAAUCAUUUUGCCAAAAAAAAGGGAAAUUACCUUCCUACUGAUGUGGAACCAAUAGACAUUAACGAGAUUUGGGGAAGGUCAAUAGCUAGAAACUGUUCAGAUAUGGUUGGGUUUCAAAUCGAGUUGUUUCUGACCCAAUAAGACCUGGCAAUCCAUCAAGCAGUCCGUCAAGUUUUAACAGACUUGCCUGAGGCCGAGAAGAGGAUUGGUGGCAGCAGCGCUACUCCGGAAGGCCCGUGGUGAUGGCUUGGUGAAGGAUAGUGUUGGCAAUGCUUGGCGAAGGUUUUUUUGGGGCUCUUUUUUUA
RNAcentral lists this unclassified non-coding RNA (1675 nucleotides) under Hevea brasiliensis (rubber tree). The record is from RNAcentral. Lineage: Eukaryota; Viridiplantae; Streptophyta; Magnoliopsida; Malpighiales; Euphorbiaceae.